UGCACCUGAUUGAUUUUGGUCGCCAACGAGUGGCGGACGGGUGAGUAACACGUAGGCAACCUGCCCAGAAGCGGGGGACAACAUUUGGAAACAGAUGCUAAUACCGCAUAACAGCGUUGUUCGCAUGAACAACGCUUAAAAGAUGGCUUCUCGCUAUCACUUCUGGAUGGACCUGCGGUGCAUUAGCUUGUUGGUGGGGUAACGGCCUACCAAGGCGAUGAUGCAUAGCCGAGUUGAGAGACUGAUCGGCCACAAUGGGACUGAGACACGGCCCAUACUCCUACGGGAGGCAGCAGUAGGGAAUCUUCCACAAUGGGCGCAAGCCUGAUGGAGCAACACCGCGUGAGUGAAGAAGGGUUUCGGCUCGUAAAGCUCUGUUGUUAAAGAAGAACACGUAUGAGAGUAACUGUUCAUACGUUGACGGUAUUUAACCAGAAAGUCACGGCUAACUACGUGCCAGCAGCCGGCUGGUAAAUACGUAGGUGGCAAGCGUUAUCCGGAUUUAGUUGGGGCGUAAAGAGAGUGCAGGCGGUUUUCUAAGUCUGAUGUGAAAGCCUUCGGCUUAACCGGAGAAGUGCAUCGGAAACUGGAUAACUUGAGUGCAGAAGAGGGUAGUGGAACUCCAUGUGUAGCGGUGGAAUGCGUAGAUAUAUGGAAGAACACCAGUGGCGAAGGCGGCUACCUGGUCUGCAACUGACGCUGAGACUCGAAAGCAUGGGUAGCGAACAGGAUUAGAUACCCUGGUAGUCCAUGCCGUAAACGAUGAGUGCUAGGUGUUGGAGGGUUUCCGCCCUUCAGUGCCGG
Molecule: ribosomal RNA, 804 nt
Filed under: uncultured Lactobacillus sp.
Lineage: Bacteria; Bacillati; Bacillota; Bacilli; Lactobacillales; Lactobacillaceae
Description: bacterial SSU rRNA
Rfam family: Bacterial small subunit ribosomal RNA
Source: RNAcentral